Jaculus jaculus (lesser Egyptian jerboa) is the source of this 316-nucleotide non-coding RNA. The record is from Ensembl. Lineage: Eukaryota; Metazoa; Chordata; Mammalia; Rodentia; Dipodidae.
UGGAAAUGAUGUAGUAGAGAUAGUUGGGUUUUAAUUGUUGUAUGAGUGGAAAAUUUUAAUAUGUAUGCUGAGUAAUUCUAUUUUAAUGUUUGAUUGUGAAUUCAGUUUGUGUGUAUGUAUAUGCAUGUGUGCUUUUGGCAGCUAUCGAAAGGGGGCACUGUUUGGUGAUGCUGAUAAUGGCGUGCAUCUGAGGCUGUUGUAGAAAUAACCUGGGUUGUUGAAUACAAUGUAGCCAGUGAUUAUAACCCAAGGGAAAAAAAGAGAGAAAAAAUACUUUGUUGAUUGAUUUCAUUUCGGCAUUUCUAAAAUAUUCCAA